Molecule: ribosomal RNA, 301 nt
Filed under: uncultured bacterium
Lineage: Bacteria
Description: partial 16S ribosomal RNA
Rfam family: Bacterial small subunit ribosomal RNA
Source: RNAcentral
CAGCAGCCACGGUAAUACAGAGGGUGCAAGCGUUAAUCGGAAUUACUGGGCGUAAAGCGCGCGUAGGUGGUUUGUUAAGUUGGAUGUGAAAGCCCCGGGCUCAACUUGGGAACUGCAUCCAAAACUGGCAAGCUAGAGUACGGUAGAGGGUGGUGGAAUUUCCUGUGUAGCGGUGAAAUGCGUAGAUAUAGGAAGGAACACCAGUGGCGAAGGCGACCACCUGGACUGAUACUGACACUGAGGUGCGAAAGCGUGGGGAGCAAACAGGAUUAGAUACCCGAGUAGUCCCUGUCUCUUAUAU